CAGCCGCCACGGGAACACGGAGGGUGCAAGCGUUAAUCGGAAUUACUGGGCGUAAAGCGCACGCAGGCGGUCUGACAAGUCAGACGUGAAAUCCCCGGGCUUAACCUGGGAACUGCAUUUGAAACUGUCAGGCUGGAGUCUUGUAGAGGGGGGUAGAAUUCCAGGUGUAGCGGUGAAAUGCGUAGAGAUCUGGAGGAAUACCGGUGGCGAAGGCGGCCCCCUGGACAAAGACUGACGCUCAGGUGCGAAAGCGUGGGGAGCAAACAGGAUUAGAUACCCCGGUAGUCCCUGUCUCUUAUAC
RNAcentral lists this ribosomal RNA (301 nucleotides) under uncultured bacterium. RNAcentral describes it as "partial 16S ribosomal RNA". It matches the Rfam family "Bacterial small subunit ribosomal RNA", at positions 509 to 807 of the family's 1533-position model. The record is from RNAcentral.